GCAGCCAGGAAAAGUAUAAAAACUUGAGGCUCACGGCCAGAAGACAUUCUCAAAAUGACUGGCCAGACACACUGUCAGAAGCAGUCAUAAGAGAAUCCAAUGAACCAGCAACUUGACAGCUGAGACCGUCCAAGAGCCAGAGAACUAGCUCUUGCCUGCGGAUCAAGACUUGCUGAUCCAGAGGUCUACAUCGAGAGCCACGAACCACUAUCAGGAAGACAUUCUCAUAGGUACAACUGAGCAGCAACAGUACCAUGGAGCAACAAACUUCUCAGCUGCU
Non-coding RNA from Myodes glareolus (Bank vole), 280 nucleotides. The record is from RefSeq and is a predicted model, not a curated record. NCBI's taxonomy places the organism in Eukaryota, Metazoa, Chordata, Mammalia, Rodentia, Cricetidae.